UACGGAGGGGNUUAGCGUUGUUCGGAAUUACUGGGCGUAAAGCGCGCGUAGGCGGACCAGAAAGUUGGGGGUGAAAUCCCGGGGCUCAACCCCGGAACGGCCUCCAAAACUCCUGGUCUUGAGUUCGAGAGAGGUGAGUGGAAUUCCGAGUGUAGAGGUGAAAUUCGUAGAUAUUCGGAGGAACACCAGUGGCGAAGGCGGCUCACUGGCUCGAUACUGACGCUGAGGUGCGAAAGUGUGGGGAGCAAANAGG
Molecule: ribosomal RNA, 253 nt
Filed under: uncultured bacterium
Lineage: Bacteria
Description: partial 16S ribosomal RNA
Rfam family: Bacterial small subunit ribosomal RNA
Source: RNAcentral